This 497-nucleotide ribosomal RNA is filed under the name uncultured bacterium. Its description in RNAcentral is "partial 16S ribosomal RNA". It matches the Rfam family "Bacterial small subunit ribosomal RNA", at positions 28 to 507 of the family's 1533-position model. The record is from RNAcentral.
GAUGAACGCUGGCGGCGUGCCUAAUACAUGCAAGUCGAGCGAACAGACGAGGAGCUUGCUCCUCUGACGUUAGCGGCGGACGGGUGAGUAACACGUGGAUAACCUACCUAUAAGACUGGGAUAACUUCGGGAAACCGGAGCUAAUACCGGAUAAUAUAUUGAACCGCAUGGUUCAAUAGUGAAAGACGGUUUUGCUGUCACUUAUAGAUGGAUCCGCGCCGCAUUAGCUAGUUGGUAAGGUAACGGCUUACCAAGGCAACGAUGCGUAGCCGACCUGAGAGGGUGAUCCGCCACGCUGGAACUGAGACACGGUCCAGACUCCUACGGAAGGCAGCAGUAGGGAAUCUUCCGCAAUGGGCGAAUGCUUGCCGGAGCAACGCCGCGUGAGUGAUGAAGUUCUUCGGAUCGUAAGACUCUGUUAUUAGGGAAGAACAAAUGUGUAAGUAACUAUGCACGUCUUGACGGUACCUUAUCAGAAAGCCACGGCUAACUACGUG